This 484-nucleotide ribosomal RNA is filed under the name uncultured bacterium. Its description in RNAcentral is "partial 16S ribosomal RNA". It matches the Rfam family "Bacterial small subunit ribosomal RNA", at positions 30 to 507 of the family's 1533-position model. The record is from RNAcentral.
AUUGAACGCUGGCGGCAGGCCUAACACAUGCAAGUCGAGCGGAUGAAGGGAGCUUGCUCCUGGAUUCAGCGGCGGACGGGUGAGUAAUGCCUAGGAAUCUGCCUGGUAGUGGGGGAUAACGUCCGGAAACGGGCGCUAAUACCGCAUACGUCCUGAGGGAGAAAGUGGGGGAUCUUCGGACCUCACGCUAUCAGAUGAGCCUAGGUCGGAUUAGCUAGUUGGUGGGGUAAAGGCCUACCAAGGCGACGAUCCGUAACUGGUCUGAGAGGAUGAUCAGUCACACUGGAACUGAGACACGGUCCAGACUCCUACGGGAGGCAGCAGUGGGGAAUAUUGGACAAUGGGCGAAAGCCUGAUCCAGCCAUGCCGCGUGUGUGAAGAAGGUCUUCGGAUUGUAAAGCACUUUAAGUUGGGAGGAAGGGCAGUAAGUUAAUACCUUGCUGUUUUGACGUUACCAACAGAAUAAGCGUCGGCUAACUUCGUG